GAGUUUGAUCCUGGCUCAGAAUGAACGCUGGCGGCGUGCUUAACACAUGCAAGUCGUACGAGAAAUCCUCUGCUUGCAGGGGAGAGUAAAGUGGCGCACGGAUGAGUAUCGCGUGGGUAAUCUACCCUUGAAUUCAGGAUAACAUUUCGAAAGGGGUGCUAAUACUGGAUAACAUCCUGAUGGUUUCGGCCAUAAGGAUCAAAGAUAGCCUCUACAUGUAAGCUAUAGUUCAGGGAUGAGCCCGCGUACCAUCAGCUAGUUGGUGGGGUAAGAGCCUACCAAGGCAACGAUGGUUAGCUGGUCUGAGAGGAUGAUCAGCCACACUGGAACUGAAACACGGUCCAGACUCCUACGGGAGGCAGCAGUGAGGAAUUUUGCGCAAUGGGGGAAACCCUGACGCAGCAACGCCGCGUGAGUGAAGAAGGCUUUCGGGUCGUAAAGCUCUGUCAAGAGGGAAGAAAGUGGGGGAUGGUAAUACUGUUUCCUAUUGACGGUACCUCUGAAGGAAGCACCGGCUAACUCCGUGCCAGCAGCCGCGGUAAUACGGGGGGUGCAAGCGUUAUUCGGAUUUAUUGGGCGUAAAGAGCGCGUAGGCGGUUUAUCAAGUCAGAUGUGAAAGCCCUGGGCUCAACCUGGGAAGUGCAUUUGAAACUAGUAGACUUGAGUAUGGGAGAGGGGAGUGGAAUUCCUGGUGUAGAGGUGAAAUUCGUAGAUAUCAGGAGGAACAC
Molecule: ribosomal RNA, 728 nt
Filed under: uncultured bacterium
Lineage: Bacteria
Description: bacterial SSU rRNA
Rfam family: Bacterial small subunit ribosomal RNA
Source: RNAcentral